UAAGGAAUAUUGGACAAUGGACGCAAGUCUGAUCCAGCCAUGCCGCGUGAAGGAUUAAGGUCCUCUGGAUUGUAAACUUCUUUUAUAAGGGACGAAAAAAGGUCUUUCUAGAUCGUCUGACGGUACCUUAUGAAUAAGCACCGGCUAACUCCGUGCCAGCAGCCGCGGUAAUACGGAGGGUGCAAGCGUUAUCCGGAUUCACUGGGUUUAAAGGGUGCGUAGGCGGGCAGGUAAGUCAGUGGUGAAAUCCUAGAGCUCAACUCUAGAACUGCCAUUGAUACUAUCUGUCUUGAAUAUUGUGGAGGUAAGCGGAAUAUGUCAUGUAGCGGUGAAAUGCUUAGAUAUGACAUAGAACACCUAUUGCGAAGGCAGCUUACUACGCAUA
This 385-nucleotide ribosomal RNA is filed under the name uncultured bacterium. RNAcentral's name for it is "bacterial SSU rRNA". It matches the Rfam family "Bacterial small subunit ribosomal RNA", at positions 355 to 737 of the family's 1533-position model. The record is from RNAcentral.